RNAcentral lists this ribosomal RNA (253 nucleotides) under uncultured bacterium. RNAcentral's name for it is "partial 16S ribosomal RNA". It matches the Rfam family "Bacterial small subunit ribosomal RNA", at positions 524 to 776 of the family's 1533-position model. The record is from RNAcentral.
UACGUAGGGGGCAAGCGUUAUCCGGAUUUACUGGGUGUAAAGGGAGCGUAGACGGCUUUGCAAGCCAGAUGUGAAAGCCCGGGGCUCAACCCCGGGACUGCAUUUGGAACUGUGUGGCUAGAGUGUCGGAGAGGCAGGCGGAAUUCCUAGUGUAGCGGUGAAAUGCGUAGAUAUUAGGAGGAACACCAGUGGCGAAGGCGGUCUGCUGGACAGCAACUGACGCUGAGGCGCGAAAGCGUGGGGAGCAAACAGG